Molecule: ribosomal RNA, 221 nt
Filed under: uncultured bacterium
Lineage: Bacteria
Description: partial 16S ribosomal RNA
Rfam family: Bacterial small subunit ribosomal RNA
Source: RNAcentral
GACAGAGGGUGCAAACGUUGCUCGGAAUCACUGGGCGUAAAGGGCGUGUAGGCGGGUAGGCAAGUCGGGCGUGAAAUCCCUGAGCUCAACUCAGGAACUGCACUCGAAACUGCUUAUCUUGAGUGCCGGAGAGGAAAGCGGAAUACCUGGUGUAGAGGUGAAAUUCGUAGAUAUCAGGUGGAACACCAGUGGCGAAGGCGGCUUUCUGGACGGUAACUGAC